Molecule: non-coding RNA, 95 nt
Organism: Colletotrichum sp. SAR11_240
Lineage: Eukaryota; Fungi; Ascomycota; Sordariomycetes; Glomerellales; Glomerellaceae
Source: the annotation of a GenBank genome assembly
GGGCGAAUGGUUUAGUGGUAUAAUACUCGCUUAGCACCGGAUGACUCCAUCGUCCAAUCUGUGAGUGGUCCAGGGUUCGAUUCCCUGUUCGUCCA